AGCGAACGCUGGCGGCAGGCUUAACACAUGCAAGUCGAACGGGCUUCUUCGGAAGUCAGUGGCAGACGGGUGAGUAACACGUGGGAACGUGCCCUUCGGUUCGGAAUAACUCAGGGAAACUUGAGCUAAUACCGGAUACGCCCUUUUGGGGAAAGGUUUACUGCCGAAGGAUCGGCCCGCGUCUGAUUAGCUUGUUGGUGGGGUAACGGCCUACCAAGGCGACGAUCAGUAGCUGGUCUGAGAGGAUGAUCAGCCACACUGGGACUGAGACACGGCCCAGACUCCUACGGGAGGCAGCAGUGGGGAAUAUUGGACAAUGGGCGCAAGCCUGAUCCAGCCAUGCCGCGUGAGUGAUGAAGGCCUUAGGGUUGUAAAGCUCUUUUGUCCGGGACGAUAAUGACGGUACCGGAAGAAUAAGCCCCGGCUAACUUCGU
This 434-nucleotide ribosomal RNA is filed under the name uncultured bacterium. RNAcentral describes it as "partial 16S ribosomal RNA". It matches the Rfam family "Bacterial small subunit ribosomal RNA", at positions 29 to 506 of the family's 1533-position model. The record is from RNAcentral.